UGGCGGCAGGCUUAACACAUGCAAGUCGAGCGCCCCGCAAGGGGAGCGGCAGACGGGUGAGUAACGCGUGGGAAUCUACCGAGCCCUACGGAAUAACGCAUGGAAACGUGUGCUAAUACCGUAUACGCCCUACGGGGGAAAGAUUUAUCGGGGUUUGAUGAGCCCGCGUUGGAUUAGCUAGUUGGUGGGGUAAAGGCCUACCAAGGCGACGAUCCAUAGCUGGUCUGAGAGGAUGAUCAGCCACAUUGGGACUGAGACACGGCCCAAACUCCUACGGGAGGCAGCAGUGGGGAAUAUUGGACAAUGGGCGCAAGCCUGAUCCAGCCAUGCCGCGUGAGUGAUGAAGGUCUUAGGAUUGUAAAGCUCUUUCACCGGAGAAGAUAAUGACGGUAUCCGGAGAAGAAGCCCCGGCUAACUUCGUGCCAGCAGCCGCGGUAAUACGAAGGGUGCAAGCGUUAAUCGGAAUUACUGGGCGUAAAGCGCGCGUAGGUGGUUCAGCAAGUUGGAUGUGAAAGCCCUGGGCUCAACCUGGGAACUGCAUCCAAAACUACUGAGCUAGAGUACGGUAGAGGGUAGUGGAAUUUCCUGUGUAGCGGUGAAAUGCGUAGAUAUAGGAAGGAACACCAGUGGCGAAGGCGACUACCUGGACUGAUACUGACACUGAGGUGCGAAAGCGUGGGGAGCAAACAGGAUUAGAUACCCUGGUAGUCCACGCCGUAAACGAUGUCGACUAGCCGUUGGGAUCCUUGAGAUCUUAGUGGCGCAGCUUACGCAUUAAGUCGACCGCCU
Molecule: ribosomal RNA, 789 nt
Filed under: uncultured bacterium
Lineage: Bacteria
Description: bacterial SSU rRNA
Rfam family: Bacterial small subunit ribosomal RNA
Source: RNAcentral